RNAcentral lists this long non-coding RNA (903 nucleotides) under Monodelphis domestica (gray short-tailed opossum). RNAcentral describes it as "lncRNA (ENSMODG00000044432.1)". The record is from RNAcentral. Lineage: Eukaryota; Metazoa; Chordata; Mammalia; Didelphimorphia; Didelphidae.
CUGGCACAGAAUUAGAGUAUACAGAAUGGAUGCUUGCCUAGGUUUAUCUGCUUGGAGAGCUACUGGGAAUGGAAGCUCAGCCCCUUUCCUCCCAAAGACAGAAGGGAAGAAUAGAAGAUGCUAGGACAGUAUGAUGUCAGGGAGAGGAAGGAAAUCCCCACCAUCCCAGGGACAAGGACAGGAGGACAAGGACAGGAUGAAAUUAGAGACAGCUGCUUGAAGAUGAAGGGAGACUUUUGGAGGCAGUCACUUUUUCCUGGUCUUAUCCCUGUCUGGAACUUUCUGCGCUGGAGAGACUUGCUGGGUGUAUAGUCUUCCUGUGAUUAUAUAAUUGGAGUAGGAUGGAUGGAAAGAGUCAUUGAAGUUGUGGCAAGAAAGAAGUCAGGAUGCCUGGUGCUAGCCCCGAAUAUAGUGGAUGGCCUUGAAGACUUUGAUAUCUAACCAAGAUCUAAGAGCCCCAAAGCACCUGCCAUUGGAACCUGCCAUUGUGUCUUCCCAUGUUUAGGGUAGACAUCCCCCUAAUUCACUGAUGCCCACAGGCUUGAGACCUAUAUCCUCAACCUGGUUUGGCCUCUUUGCAGAGACAGUUUGAGGGUAACCAAUACAGAUAGUAGGAGCAUGAACUAUGAAUUUCCUCUGUGUCUUCUGAUCCCAAAUCCAGUCCUCUUUCUCCUUCGUUAGUAUUGUACCUCUUCUAACUCAUCCCCAAUAUCUAACCCUUUGGCAAGUCUUAUCAAUUUCUACUUUUUUAUUGUCUCCUUUUUAUUCAGAAAGCCGCCAUCCUAGUUUGGGUUCUUACCACUUCUCUCCUGACUUAAAACUAUUGUUGAGCCUUCUAAUUUGCCUCUCAACAACAUUUCAUCUCUCUCUUUUCCAUUCUACCCCCCCCCCACACACACACAC